RNAcentral lists this ribosomal RNA (460 nucleotides) under uncultured bacterium. RNAcentral describes it as "partial 16S ribosomal RNA". It matches the Rfam family "Bacterial small subunit ribosomal RNA", at positions 338 to 795 of the family's 1533-position model. The record is from RNAcentral.
CCUACGGGAGGCAGCAGUGAGGAAUAUUGGUCAAUGGACGAGAGUCUGAACCAGCCAAGUAGCGUAAAGGAUGACUGCCCUAUGGGUUGUAAACUUCUUUUAUAUGGGAAUAAAAUGUUCCACGUGUGGGAUUUUGUAUGUACCAUAUGAAUAAGGAUCGGCUAACUCCGUGCCAGCAGCCGCGGUAAUACGGAGGAUCCGAGCGUUAUCCGGAUUUAUUGGGUUUAAAGGGAGCGUAGGUGGAUUGUUAAGUCAGUUGUGAAAGUUUGCGGCUCAACCGUAAAAUUGCAGUUGAAACUGGCAGUCUUGAGUACAGUAGAGGUGGGCGGAAUUCGUGGUGUAGCGGUGAAAUGCUUAGAUAUCACGAAGAACUCCGAUAGCGAAGGCAGUUCACUGGACUGCAACUGACACUGAGGCUCGAAAGUGUGGGUAUCAAACAGGAUUAGAUACCCUUGUAGUC